Stegostoma tigrinum is the source of this 786-nucleotide long non-coding RNA. RefSeq lists it as uncharacterized. The transcript is spliced from 3 exons. The record is from RefSeq and is a predicted model, not a curated record. NCBI's taxonomy places the organism in Eukaryota, Metazoa, Chordata, Chondrichthyes, Orectolobiformes, Stegostomatidae.
GUAGGCGGAGCGCAAGCUUCUGCUGUCAAUCAGCUGCCCCAGGGUGUGGGAGUGUGUGUGGAGAGUUGUUGGUGGAAUCAGUCAAGCUCGUGCUAAAGACAGCGAGGCAAGUCCGUAACAAUAUGAGCCUGGUUUCUCUGGCUGAGCGGGUAAAGCUCAAAAAGGCAAGGUAACGCAAGCGAGGGAUGCUGUGAGUAAUGAGGUUUUGUCGAAGGGAGUAUACCCUCUGACCGGGACUGAAAAACCUGGAGUUGCAGCCUGAUCAUUGAGUUGAGUGCAUAUCCUUGAAUGCAAAGUUUCUUACUGCAACAUUAAAAUGAUAGUUGCCAAUUCAGUCCAAGGUGCAGCAUGGAAGUGCGUGGGCAUGCUGUAACUGGAUUGGACAUGUGCUUUGAGGCUGGCACAUAUUGGAUACCAAUAUCAAUGGAAAUGGGUGAAUGUGGCCUGUGCUCAUGGAGUGUGCCUGAGAUAUUGGUGCCCAGUGUCCAACGUGGAGAUUGACCGGAGCAAGCGGUGAGAUAAAGUUGCUACAUACUGAUAAUACAGUGUGAAGCUGAAGGAACACGGCACGCCAGGCAGCAUCUGAGGAGCAGGAAAGUUGACGUUUCGGAUCGGGACCCUUCCAGCGUUUAGCUUGUAUGAUCGUGACACACAAUGUAUUUUGCAUCAUCAUCUUUUACACUUGAGAUUCAAAAUCUCAAAAGCAAAUCUUGUACAUCCCAAAAACACAAGUGAGGCAAAUUUGGUUAAUUGGUAAUAUUUGCCAUAACUUUCAAACUUGAAAUA